CAGUCGCCGCGGGAAAACGUAGGUGGCAAGCGUUGUCCGGAAUUAUUGGGCGUAAAGGGCUCGCAGGCGGUUUCUUAAGUCUGAUGUGAAAGCCCCCGGCUCAACCGGGGAGGGUCAUUGGAAACUGGGAAACUUGAGUGCAGAAGAGGAGAGUGGAAUUCCACGUGUAGCGGUGAAAUGCGUAGAGAUGUGGAGGAACACCAGUGGCGAAGGCGACUCUCUGGUCUGUAACUGACGCUGAGGAGCGAAAGCGUGGGGAGCGAACAGGAUUAGAUACCCCGGUAGUCCCUGUCUCUUAUAC
This 301-nucleotide ribosomal RNA is filed under the name uncultured bacterium. Its description in RNAcentral is "partial 16S ribosomal RNA". It matches the Rfam family "Bacterial small subunit ribosomal RNA", at positions 509 to 807 of the family's 1533-position model. The record is from RNAcentral.